This is a long non-coding RNA of Mustela lutreola (European mink), 737 nucleotides long. RefSeq lists it as uncharacterized. Lineage: Eukaryota; Metazoa; Chordata; Mammalia; Carnivora; Mustelidae. The transcript has 3 exons. The record is from RefSeq and is a predicted model, not a curated record.
GAAAUAUUUUUUAAUAUACUUAAAAUAUUAUAAUCGUAUAGUUCGUGCUACCACAACUUGAACGCCUGUAGAUUUAGCUUUAGCGAAUGCUUUUCUGUUUGAAACGGUCUUUUCUUGAAGAAAUUGGCUUAAUUAGUAACUCUGGUUAGCCACAUUAGAUCAGACUAGGUUUUAAUCAUUAACUUCCACAAAGGAGGAGUCCUGCUUUUUGUUCUCUAGAUAUGCAGGAACUUACCCUGACCUGUCCGUUUUCUGAAAACUUGUCGGUUUUCUGAAGCAGAUGGUCGGGUGCUCUGAGGCCCGAUUCCUGGGCUCUUGUUUCUGCUUUAGCAGCUCGUUUGUUGGGUGACCUUGAGCAAGUCACUUCCCCCUGAGCCUCAACUUCCUCUUCUGUUAAAUAAAUGAGAGAAUGUAUGCCUUCCGGCCUUAUUUUAUUUUCUAAAAGACUGUCAUUUCUGACCCUGGAUGGUAGAGAUGCUCUGUGAGGUUCAGGGAGGAGGAAAGAUAAUUUAGGGAGAAAUUUGGGGCACCAAGACAUGCCUAAUCACACCUCUUAGUCUACCACCUGGGUGCGCCCGGGGACAUCACUGCCCACCAGUCUUCUAGGUGUGGUCUUCGCUGAAUGGGGUGCAGAGACUCCCAGCGAUCCUCAGCAGGCUGCAGGUGCUGCGGGAGGCCACAGAGCAAAGAUGCACGUUACCUAAGAACAUAUUAUUUUCUCCCCACAAAGCUAAAGU